GUGCUCACUUCUGCAGCGCAUAUACUCAAGUUGGAGCGAUAUAGAGAAGAUUAGCACAGCCCCUGUGAAAGAUGACAUACACAUUCAUGAAGUAAAACCCGAGGUC
Cavia aperea (Brazilian guinea pig) is the source of this 106-nucleotide small nuclear RNA. NCBI's taxonomy places the organism in Eukaryota, Metazoa, Chordata, Mammalia, Rodentia, Caviidae. The record is from Ensembl.